GAUGAACGCUAGCGAUAGGCCUUACACAUGCAAGUCGAGGGGCACCACAAAGAAAGUAGCAAUACCUUCUUGGUGGCGACCGGCGCACGGGUGACUAACGCGUAUGCAACCUACCUACUAAUUUGGGAUAGCUCGUUGAAAGACGAAUUAAUACCUUAUAAAACAGGGGAUCCGCAUGGAGAUAUUUGUUAAAGAUUUAUUGGUAGUAGAUGGGCAUGCGUUCCAUUAGUUAGUUGGUGAGGUAAUUGCUCACCAAGACAACGAUGGAUAGGGGAACUGAGAGGUUUGUCCCCCACACUGGAACUGAGACACGGUCCAGACUCCUACGGGAGGCACGCAGUGAGGCAUAUUGGUCAAUGGAGGCAACUCUGAACCAGCCAAGUCGUGUGUAGGAUGACGGCCCUACGGGUUGUAAA
Molecule: ribosomal RNA, 416 nt
Filed under: uncultured bacterium
Lineage: Bacteria
Description: SSU rRNA
Rfam family: Bacterial small subunit ribosomal RNA
Source: RNAcentral